This 878-nucleotide long non-coding RNA is filed under the name Marmota monax (woodchuck). The record is from RNAcentral. Lineage: Eukaryota; Metazoa; Chordata; Mammalia; Rodentia; Sciuridae.
AAAACUUCUCCAGGAAGAGAGUCCAGUGUGCAUUUAACUCAAGUUCAGUUAUUCAAAAGUGAUUAGGUGUUUUAAAGAGAGACUCAAGGAAUAGACAAGUGCACGUAUGGGGGCUCAGUAGAGUGAGGAAAGUAAAACAUUACGAAAAGCAGGAAGUGAAAGGUUGGUCUAUGUGAAACCAAUCUGGGUUUACUAACUGGUACUAAAUGGAAGUUAGGCUUCUACUUCUCACCACAGCUGGGAACAGGGGUCCUGUUCAGGUAACUGUUGGCUGGAACAAAUACUAAAUUCUUUUGGCACCCAUGAGUUUCCUUAGGCAGGCACUAAGGAUCACAGUAACUUUGUUACUGUUUCCUUCAAGGCUUUAUUGGCCAAGGUUGAGACUUGGUGGAGAAGAGAGCCCAGAGAAGCUUGACUUUGGUCAAGGGGAGAAUCUUUUUCAGCAGAUGUAUCAGUUAAGAGGCCAUUUCCUUGUCCAGAAGAAAGAUAAUGGAUGAGUGACAUGUACAAGAAAGAUAAUGGAUGGGGAUAUGUAGAUGAGUUAUGUGUGAUACUUUGGAGAGGGGACCAAGAUGACUUGCUGUUGAAUUGGCAUACUCCCUAUGGAAUGGAUUGAAGAAAGCCUUUUCCUUCACUGAAUUCUUUGACAACCAUCAAGUCAAAACACUAAACAAACUAUGUUGCAUUUCCUUCUAUAAAUUUUUAAAAAACAAAAGAUGAAUGUCACUCUUGAAAGCAAUUUCUGUUUAAAAUGGAAAUGCAAAAUAUAUUUUUCUUAUAAACACAGUCAUGUUGAAUUGUAUCCCAUGCUGUGUUAACUAGUUUCUUGCUGUGUAUUUUAAGUUUCCCAACUUCUUUUAUGUAUACACUCAUUCUAA